CGCCUGUUUAUCAAAAACAUCGCCUCUUGCAAAAUCAAUGAAUAAGAGGUCCCGCCUGCCCUGUGACUAUAAGUUUAACGGCCGCGGUAUUUUGACCGUGCGAAGGUAGCGCAAUCACUUGUCUUUUAAAUGGAGACCUGUAUGAAUGGCAUAACGAGGGCUUAGCUGUCUCCUCUUUCAAGUCAAUGAAAUUGAUCUCCCCGUGCAGAAGCGGGGAUACUCACAUAAGACGAGAAGACCCUAUGGAGCUUUAGACACCAAGACAGACCAUGUUAAACACCCCAGAAUAAAGGACCAAACCAAAUGGCCCCUGCCCUAAUGUCUUUGGUUGGGGCGACCGCGGGGAAACACAAAACCCCCACGUGGAACGAGAGCACCUCCUCUCACAACCAAGAGCUCCCGCUCUAGUAAACAGAAAUUCUGACCAAUCAGAUCCGGCAAAGCCGAUCAACGGACCGAGUUACCCUAGGGAUAACAGCGCAAUCCCCUUUUAGAGGCCAUAUCGACAAGGGGGUUUACGACCUCGAUGUUGGAUCAGGACAUCCUAAUGGUGCAGCCGCUAUUAAGGGUUCGUUUGUUCAACGAUUAAAGUCCUACGUGAUCUGAGUUCAGACCGG
This 617-nucleotide ribosomal RNA is filed under the name Lutjanus synagris (lane snapper). Its description in RNAcentral is "partial 16S ribosomal RNA". It matches the Rfam family "Bacterial large subunit ribosomal RNA", at positions 1797 to 2619 of the family's 2925-position model. Lineage: Eukaryota; Metazoa; Chordata; Actinopteri; Lutjaniformes; Lutjanidae. The record is from RNAcentral.